UACGGGGGGGGCAAGCGUUGUUCGGAAUUACUGGGCGUAAAGGGCUCGUAGGCGGCCAACUAAGUCCGACGUGAAAUCCCAAGGCUUAACCUUGGAACUGCGUCGGAUACUGGAUGGCUUGAGAUUGGGAGAGGGAUGCGGAAUUCCAGGUGUAGCGGUGAAAUGCGUAGAUAUCUGGAGGAACACCGGUGGCGAAGGCGGCAUCCUGGACCAACACUGACGCUGAGGAGCGAAAGCCAGGGGAGCAAACAGG
Molecule: ribosomal RNA, 253 nt
Filed under: uncultured bacterium
Lineage: Bacteria
Description: partial 16S ribosomal RNA
Rfam family: Bacterial small subunit ribosomal RNA
Source: RNAcentral